UACGUAGGGGGCAAGCGUUGUCCGGAAUCAUUGGGCGUAAAGAGCGUGUAGGCGGCCCGGUAAGUCCGCUGUGAAAGUCCAGGGCUCAACCCUGGGAUGCCGGUGGAUACUGUCGGGCUCGAGUCCGGAAGAGGCGAGUGGAAUUCCUGGUGUAGCGGUGAAAUGCGCAGAUAUCAGGAGGAACACGAAUGGCGAAGGCAGCUCGCUGGGACGUGACUGACGCUGAGACGCGAAAGCGUGGGGAGCAAACAGG
RNAcentral lists this ribosomal RNA (253 nucleotides) under uncultured bacterium. RNAcentral describes it as "partial 16S ribosomal RNA". It matches the Rfam family "Bacterial small subunit ribosomal RNA", at positions 524 to 776 of the family's 1533-position model. The record is from RNAcentral.